GUAAACAGCCAUAUCACCCUGCAGCCCAAGACUGGUUGCCCACUGAAGCUAAGCAGGGCUGAGCCUGGUCAGUACCUGGAUGGAAGACCUCCUGGGAAAACUAGGUUGCUGUUGGAA
RNAcentral lists this ribosomal RNA (117 nucleotides) under Sinocyclocheilus grahami. Lineage: Eukaryota; Metazoa; Chordata; Actinopteri; Cypriniformes; Cyprinidae. The record is from RNAcentral.